CCCUGGGUGGCUCAGUGGUUGAGCGUCUGCCUUUGACGCAGGGCAUGAUCCCAGGGC
This 57-nucleotide transfer RNA is filed under the name Canis lupus familiaris (dog). Lineage: Eukaryota; Metazoa; Chordata; Mammalia; Carnivora; Canidae. RNAcentral also lists the same sequence under 1 other name. The record is from Rfam by way of RNAcentral.